UUUGGUUUUGUUUUUUCAUUUCUUUAUAAUUAUGAUCGUUAUGCUUUUCCAAAUGGGAAGAGUGAGUGAGUGUUAGAGAGUUUUCUUUUUAAAAAAAUCUUGGUCGUUUUUAGAUUGUAUUGGCAUUAUUUAGGGAAAUCAGUCUAUUUGUAAAUGACCAGUAGUCUAUUUGUAAAUUAAAUAAAUGGCCAUUUUGUAUUUUGGAAUAUCCAAUUUGCUUGAGGAAUGAGUUGUUUGUUGGUUUUGAAUACUUUGACAUGGAAAUUAAUGUAUUUUUUAAAAAUUAUUUAUAGCGAGUCACACAUAGAAAGACAA
Long non-coding RNA from Calliphora vicina (urban bluebottle blowfly), 315 nucleotides. RefSeq lists it as uncharacterized. NCBI's taxonomy places the organism in Eukaryota, Metazoa, Arthropoda, Insecta, Diptera, Calliphoridae. The transcript has 2 exons. The record is from RefSeq and is a predicted model, not a curated record.